CCUACGGAGGCUGCAGUGAGGAAUAUUGGUCAAUGGACGAGAGUCUGAACCAGCCAAGUAGCGUGAAGGAUGACUGCCCUAUGGUUUGUAAACUUCUUUUAUCUGGGAAUAAAAUGUUCCACGUGUGGGAUUUUGUAUGUACCAUAUGAAUAAGGAUCGGCUAACUAAGUGCCAGCCGCCGAGGUAAUACGGAGGAUCCGAGCGUUAUCCGGAUUUGUUGGGUUUAAAGGGAGCGUAUGUGGAUUGUUAAGUCAGUUGUGAAAGUUUGCGGCUCAACCGUUAAAUUGCAGUUGACACUGGCAGUCUUGAGUACAGUAGAGGUAGGCGGAAUUCGUGGUGUAGCGGUGAAAUGCGUAGAUAUCACGAAGAACUCCGAUUGCGAAGGCGGCUCACUGGACUGAAACUGACACUGAGGCUCGAAAGUGUGGGUAUCAAACAGGAUUAGAUACCCGAGUAGUC
RNAcentral lists this ribosomal RNA (459 nucleotides) under uncultured bacterium. Its description in RNAcentral is "partial 16S ribosomal RNA". It matches the Rfam family "Bacterial small subunit ribosomal RNA", at positions 338 to 795 of the family's 1533-position model. The record is from RNAcentral.